GGUGGCUCAGUGGUGGAGCGCUUGCCUCGCAUGCAGGAAUCCCUGGGUGCGAUUCCUCAGCACCA
This 65-nucleotide transfer RNA is filed under the name Dipodomys ordii (Ord's kangaroo rat). It matches the Rfam family "tRNA". Rfam says of the family: Transfer RNA (tRNA) molecules are approximately 80 nucleotides in length. Their secondary structure includes four short double-helical elements and three loops (D, anti-codon, and T loops). Further hydrogen bonds mediate the characteristic L-shaped molecular structure. tRNAs have two regions of fundamental functional importance: the anti-codon, which is responsible for specific mRNA codon recognition, and the 3' end, to which the tRNAs corresponding amino acid is attached (by aminoacyl-tRNA synthetases). tRNAs cope with the degeneracy of the genetic code in two manners: having more than one tRNA (with a specific anti-codon) for a particular amino acid; and 'wobble' base-pairing, i.e. permitting non-standard base-pairing at the 3rd anti-codon position. Lineage: Eukaryota; Metazoa; Chordata; Mammalia; Rodentia; Heteromyidae. The record is from Rfam by way of RNAcentral.